GAGACUCUGUGCGCGUGCAUAUCAAUAAGCGGAGGAAAAGAAACUAACAAGGAUUCCCCUAGUAACGGCGAGUGAAGCGGGAAGAGCUCAAAUUUGUAAUCUUAAAGGGUUUCCCUUUACGAAUUGUAGUUUAAAGAAGUGUUUUCUGUUGGAGUUUCGGUAAAAGUUCUUUGGAAUAGGACAUCAUAGAGGGUGAGAAUCCCGUAUUUGACCGUUACUUUCCUAGCUGUGUGAUACACUUUCAAGAGUCGGAUUGUUUGGGAAUGCAGUCCAAAAUGGGUGGUAAAUUUCAUCUAAAGCUAAAUAUUGGCGAGAGACCGAUAGCGAACAAGUACCGUGAGGGAAAGAUGAAAAGAACUUUGAAAAGAGAGUUAAACAGUACGUGAAAUUGUCAAAAGGGAAGCGUUUGACACCAGUGUUGUUUUUCGAAAAUCAAUUACGAAUAGUUUUUGAUUCUGAGUAAGUAUUGACUUCAUCAGCUUGCUGCUUUCUUCUCUAUGAAAUUAUUGAAUGCACUUUUCAGGUUAACAAGUCAACAUCAAUUUCUUUUGUUGUAAAAGGGUAUGAGGAAGGUGGCUUUCUCUUCGGCGCAAGUGUUUAUAGCCUUGUAGCCUCUGCAAUCGGAGAGAUUGAGGUCUGCAGCGUAGAUCCUUCGGGGUUAGAUACAGUUUGUGCUAAGCUAUAGCCUUUUCAUAGACAACUUGUUGACUAUGUCUCAGUCAUGUAGCUUACUCGCUGAUGCUAUUUUACCUACGCUUAGGAUGUUGACAGCAGUAUAGACUG
This 783-nucleotide ribosomal RNA is filed under the name uncultured Neocallimastigales. RNAcentral describes it as "partial large subunit ribosomal RNA". It matches the Rfam family "Eukaryotic large subunit ribosomal RNA", at positions 23 to 636 of the family's 3401-position model. Lineage: Eukaryota; Fungi; Neocallimastigomycota; Neocallimastigomycetes; Neocallimastigales. The record is from RNAcentral.